CCAUGAGUUCGCUCACAGGGAGUAGAGUGUGUAGGGGAUGUGUUAUGUGUUACUGUAGAGGAUCUAAUGUGUGUGCUUACGGAAUGUAGUGUAUAGGGAUACCAGUUUGUGUAGGUGAUGCAGUGUGUUUGUGUGUAGUGGAAGCAGUGUGUGUGUGUGUGUGUGUGUGUGUGUAUAAGGGAUGUAUUGUGUGUUUCUUGUUGUGUGUAAG
This is a non-coding RNA of Pelobates cultripes (western spadefoot toad), 211 nucleotides long. The record is from the annotation of a GenBank genome assembly. NCBI's taxonomy places the organism in Eukaryota, Metazoa, Chordata, Amphibia, Anura, Pelobatidae.